UACGUAGGGUGCAAGCGUUAAUCGGAAUUACUGGGCGUAAAGCGUGCGCAGGCGGUUUUGUAAGUCUGUCGUGAAAUCCCCGGGCUUAACCUGGGAAUUGCGAUGGAGACUGCAAGGCUAGAGUCUGGCAGAGGGGGGUAGAAUUCCACGUGUAGCAGUGAAAUGCGUAGAGAUGUGGAGGAACACCGAUGGCGAAGGCAGCCCCCUGGGUCAAGACUGACGCUCAUGCACGAAAGCGUGGGGAGCAAACAGG
RNAcentral lists this ribosomal RNA (253 nucleotides) under uncultured bacterium. RNAcentral's name for it is "partial 16S ribosomal RNA". It matches the Rfam family "Bacterial small subunit ribosomal RNA", at positions 524 to 776 of the family's 1533-position model. The record is from RNAcentral.